Molecule: long non-coding RNA, 2403 nt
Filed under: Pan troglodytes (chimpanzee)
Lineage: Eukaryota; Metazoa; Chordata; Mammalia; Primates; Hominidae
Description: lincRNA
Source: RNAcentral
AUUUCAAAAUUAAAUUUAAAAACUCAAUAUAUGAGUUUAACAAUAGGUUGGACACUAUUGAAUACAAGACUUGUGAACUGGAAACAUAUCAAUGAAAAAUAUACAAAGUGAAGCAUGGAAGAAAAAAAGAAAGAGAAAAAAUAAGAAACAAAUGUAAGAGACAUACAGGACAAGUAUGAAAGGUCUACCAUGUAAAACUGAAGUUUCAGAGGGCAAGGAGAAAGAAAUAGAGCAGAAGCAAUAUUCAAAGGGAUAAUGGUUGGGAAUUUUCUAAAGCAGAUAAAAUACAUUUAAUCCACUGGUUAAGAAGCUCAGCAAACCCUCAAGCAGGAUAAGUAUAGAGAAAACCACAAUUAUGCAACUCAGAAUAAAACUGCUGAACCAAAGACAGAGAAGAUGGAAAAACCAGCCAGAAGAAAAAAGACACAUUAUCUACAAAAGAGCAACAAUGAGACUGGCAGCUGUCUCUAAUAGCAACAAAAGAAGCCAGAAGAUAAUGGAAUGCUAUCUCUAGAGUACUGAAAGAAACUAAAGGCCAACGUGUGAAAAACAAUCUUCAGAAAUGAACGUUAAAUGAUGACAUUUUCAAACAAACAAGCAAGCAACAAAAAGAAGCAAAAAGUAAACAAAAUACCAAAAUUCACAUAAUUUAUUGCUAGGAGUUUUACACUGAAAUGCUGAAGGGAUUUCUACUAGCAAAAGUAAAAAUGAUCUCAUUUGAAAGGAUGGAAAUUCAAGGAGGGAAUGAAGAAUACUGGAUGGGUAAAUGUGUUGGUAACUAUAAAUGAAUACUGACUACACAAAAUUAUGUUGAAUAACUGAAAGAUGAAAACACAAUCACUUGAAGGAGAAAUGUAUGGUCAAACUGCAUGCAGGAAAAACUUCUAUAAAAGAGUUACUUCAUGCUCUGGGUUGGCAGAUACAAUGAGCAGGAGUGCAUCAGAAGUAAUCAAGAAGGUGAUUAGUUGGUGUACUUCAGCAGGAGCAACCAGAUGAAUUGACUUCUCUAUAUCCCCGUAUUAGCCACAAGCUAGGCAGCAGCCUGCAGGUGGGAGCAAUGCCCAUGCAUGUAUGGAUCAGUGUGCUACAUACAGUCACGUUGACAGCAUGAACCUUCGAUGUGAUGUGAGGAAAAUGGCAUUCUACCUCUGUGUUCUUCCUCCCCAAAAUUUGUAACCACCAUCUAAUCAUGAGGAAAACAUCAUACAAGUCCAAGUUGAGGAAGAUUCUACAAAAUGCCUGAUUAAUAUUCAUCGAAACUGUCAAGGUCAUCAAAAGCAAGGAAAGUCUGAGAAACUGCCACAGCCUAAAGACAGUCCAGGGAAACAUGAUGACUCAGUGGUAUUCUGGGUGGGUUUCUGGAACAGCAAAAGGACAACAGGUACCCUGAGCCACUAUCUAAAUUGUCUGCUUACCUUAUGAAGACACCAUAAGGAGGUAUAACGUGUGGUGAGCACAGGUGAAGAGCUAGAGGCCUGAAACUAGAUGGGGAGGGAGAAGCCAGCCAUGCCUGCAUCCAGGGCUGAACUCAGCCUUCCAGCAUCUGUGCAGAGGCAUCAGUCAAGCCACAGCUAACUGCAGGCCCAGUUAACAUUAUGUGGAACAUCCCAGUCAUCCCAGAUCAUCCCAGCCAACCAAGAUCAUAAAAUUGUUUUCAGCUAUUAAGUUUAAAUACGUGAAAUAAGGAGAUAAAAAUACUGACUUGGACUCUGUCUGAAUGAAAGGAUUAGUAGAUUAGAUUAGUGAUUCUUAAAAGACUUUCUUGGAUGCAUAUAAGUGUCCACAAAAUAAGAGUAUGAUGGUUUCCAGGUACAAAUAAGAUGGAAAACUAUUUUGUGAAUCAGAAUUAGAUUGGUUUAUUUACUGUAGAACUUCUAAGAGGCUUUAACAUGUACAAUUUAAUUAUCAUAAGCCUUAUGAAAACUCCAGGAGGACAGAAGAGUUGCCUGUGACUUUUUUUAAAGUGUUUAUUCACAUCCCAAGGAAGGAUUCCCAGAAGAGAUGAUGUCUAAGCAGUGUCCCAACCAUGAAAUAAAGUCUCCUAGCUACUGGACAAGAUCAUCUUGAAGCUUAUUUCCAGCUCCAAAUGUUAUUAUUUUCCUCAAACCCAUUAUAAAAUGGCCUCUCUUAACACUAUGAGAUCUGUAAUACAAGAAGUAGAACAAACACAUGAAGUUCCUGUUGGAAAUUCAAACUUCUCAUACAGCCUUCACUGAGUUCUACUCAUUAUGGAUAAAGGCUUCUGCUUUGAGUCACCUAAGUACUUUUGACCUCCAACUUAAUCAAUGCCUUGAAGUGAAAAUACAGUGUCAGGCAGUCCCUAUUCAUGACGCAAACAAACCAACCAACUCAUAUCAUGACUUAAUGGUGUGAGACCUCAGUAAAAACUUUAUAUGAACUAAA